CACGUAGGCGGCUUCGCAAGUCGGAUGUGAAAUCCCACGGCUCAACCAUGGACGUGCAUCCGAAACUGCGGGGCUUGAGUAUGGAAGAGGGUCGCGGAAUUCCCGGUGUAGAGGUGAAAUUCGUAGAUAUCGGGAGGAACACCAGUGGCGAAGGCGGCGACCUGGGCCAAUACUGACGCUGAGGUGCGAAAGCGUGGGGAGCAAACA
Molecule: ribosomal RNA, 207 nt
Filed under: uncultured bacterium
Lineage: Bacteria
Description: partial 16S ribosomal RNA
Rfam family: Bacterial small subunit ribosomal RNA
Source: RNAcentral